AUCGCUUCUCAGCCUUUUGGCUAAGAUCAAGUGUAGAAAUCCGCCUGCCUCUGCCUCCCGAGUGCUGAGAUUAAAGGCGUGCACCACCACGCCCGGCAUACGUUGCUUUCUUCUUAUACAUACAUUUGUAUGAAUUUUUUAAUCAUCUCAACUUCUGAGAAAGAUAACUUUGAAUAAUUGAAAGAAAAUUUUGAUACUGUUUCAAAUUCUUUUAAAUUUGA
This 221-nucleotide small nuclear RNA is filed under the name Mus musculus (house mouse). RNAcentral's name for it is "U2 spliceosomal RNA". It matches the Rfam family "U2 spliceosomal RNA". From Rfam's summary of the family: U2 is a small nuclear RNA (snRNA) component of the spliceosome (involved in pre-mRNA splicing). Complementary binding between U2 snRNA (in an area lying towards the 5' end but 3' to hairpin I) and the branchpoint sequence (BPS) of the intron results the bulging out of an unpaired adenosine, on the BPS, which initiates a nucleophilic attack at the intronic 5' splice site, thus starting the first of two transesterification reactions that mediate splicing. The record is from Rfam by way of RNAcentral. Lineage: Eukaryota; Metazoa; Chordata; Mammalia; Rodentia; Muridae.